RNAcentral lists this transfer RNA (74 nucleotides) under Ipomoea nil (Japanese morning glory). It matches the Rfam family "tRNA". From Rfam's summary of the family: Transfer RNA (tRNA) molecules are approximately 80 nucleotides in length. Lineage: Eukaryota; Viridiplantae; Streptophyta; Magnoliopsida; Solanales; Convolvulaceae. The record is from Rfam by way of RNAcentral.
GCUCUUGUAGCUCAGUUGGUUAAAGCACCUGUUUAGUAAGCGGGAGGUCUUGAGUUCAACUCUCAACAAGAGCA